GUAGCGAAAGUUACGCUAAUACCGCAUAUUUUGUGAGCAGGAAAGCAGGGGAUCGCAAGACCUUGCGCUGAUUGAGCGGCCGAUAUCAGAUUAGCUUGUUGGUGAGGUAAAAGCUCACCAAGGCGACGAUCUGUAGCGGGUCUGAGAGGAUGAUCCGCCACACUGGAACUGAGACACGGUCCAGACUCCUACGGGAGGCAGCAGUGGGGAAUUUUGGACAAUGGGGGCAACCCUGAUCCAGCCAUGCCGCGUGAGUGAAGAAGGCCUUCGGGUUGUAAAGCUCUUUCAGCCGGGAAGAAAACGCAUGGGUUAAUACCCUGUGUGGAUGACGGUACCGGAAUAAGAAGCACCGGCUAACUACGUGCCAGCAGCCGCGGUAAUACGUAGGGUGCGAGCGUUAAUCGGAAUUACUGGGCGUAAAGCGUGCGCAGGCGGUUUUGUAAGACAGGCGUGAAAUCCCCGGGCUUAACCUGGGAACUGCGUUUGUGACUGCAAGGCUAGAGUACGGCAGAGGGGGGUGGAAUUCCACGUGUAGCAGUGAAAUGCGCAGAGAUGUGGAGGAACACCAAUGGCGAAGGCAGCCCCCUGGGUCGAUACUGACGCUCAUGCACGAAAGCGUGGGUAGCAAACAGGAUUAGAUACCCUGGUAGUCCACGCCCUAAACGAUGUCAACUAGGUGUUGGGAGGGUAAAACCUUUUAGUACCGGAGCUAACGCGUGAAGUUGACCGCCUGGGGAGUACGGCCGCAAGGUUAAAACUCAAAGGAAUUGACGGGGACCCGCACAAGCGGUGGAUGAUGUGGAUUAAUUCGAUGCAACGCGAAAAACCUUACCUACCCUUGACAUGCCAAGAACUUUCCAGAGAUGGAUUGGUGCCCGAAAGGGAACUUGGACACAGGUGCUGUAUGGCUGUCGUCAGCUCGUGUCGUGAGAUGUUGGGUUAAGUCCCGCAACGAGCGCAACCCUUGUCGUUAAUUGCCGUCAUUUAGUUGGGCACUUUAACAAGACUGCCGGUGAUAAACCGGAGGAAGGUGGGGAUGACGUCAAGUCCUCAUGGCCCUUAUGGGUAGGGCUUCACACGUCAUACAAUGGUCGGUACAAAGGGUCGCCAAGCCGCGAGGUGGAGCCAAUCCCAGAAAGCCGAUCGUAGUCCGGAUUGCAGUCUGCAACUUGACUGCGUGAAGUCGGAAUCGCUAGUAAUCGUGGAUCAGAAUGUCACGGUGAAUACGUUCCCGGGUCUUGUACACACCGCCCGUCACACCAUGGGAGCGGGCUCC
This 1276-nucleotide ribosomal RNA is filed under the name metagenome. Its description in RNAcentral is "bacterial SSU rRNA". It matches the Rfam family "Bacterial small subunit ribosomal RNA", at positions 148 to 1418 of the family's 1533-position model. The record is from RNAcentral.